Molecule: long non-coding RNA, 749 nt
Filed under: Brassica napus (rape)
Lineage: Eukaryota; Viridiplantae; Streptophyta; Magnoliopsida; Brassicales; Brassicaceae
Description: long non-coding RNA (BNAP_LNC005267)
Source: RNAcentral
UAGAGUUGAUGUUUUAGGGUUUAGAUUUAAAGGUUUAGGGUUUUAGGGUUUAAGGUUUACAUUUAGGGUUUAGAGUUGAUGUUUUAGGGUUUUGAUUUGAAGGUUUAGGGUUUUAGGGUUUAAGGUUUACAUUUAGGGUUUAGAGUUGAUGUUUUAGGGUUUAGAUUUGAAGGUUUAGGGUUUAUGUUUAGGGUUUAGAGUUGAUAUUUUAGGGUUUAAAUUUGAAGGUUUAGAGUUUAGUGUUUAUAGUUGAUAUUUUGGGGUUUAGGGUUUAGAGUUGAUGUAUCAUGGUUUAGGGAUAAGAGUUGUUGAUUUAGGGUUUAAAGUUGAUGUUUUAAGUUUAGAUGUAGGGUUUAGGGUUUAUGUUUAGGGUUUAGGGUUGAUGUUUUAGGGUUUAGAUUUGAAGGUUUAGAGUUUAGAGUUAAUAUUUUGGAGUUUAGGGUUUAGAGUUCAUAUUUCAUGGUUUGGGGUUUAAAGUUGAUGUUUCAUGGUUUAGAGUUGAUGUUUCAUGGUUUAGGGUUUAGGUUGAUGAUUUAGGAUUUAAAGUUUAUGUUUUAACUUUGAAUUUAGGGUUUAGGGUUCACUUUUAGGGUUUAGAGUUGAUGUUUUAGAGUUUAGAUUUGAAGAUUUAUGGUUUAGGGUUGAUGUUUCGGGGUUUAGGGUUUAGAGUUUAUUUUUCAUGGUUUAGGUUUAGAAUUGAUGAUUUAGGGUUUAGAAUUGAUGAUUUAUUUAUAUAUUAAAAUAUAAUU